Molecule: long non-coding RNA, 834 nt
Filed under: Oryza sativa Indica Group (long-grained rice)
Lineage: Eukaryota; Viridiplantae; Streptophyta; Magnoliopsida; Poales; Poaceae
Description: lncRNA OsIR64_02g0018220
Source: RNAcentral
AUGGCGAACCUUCAACCUCAUCCUCUCUGGUUCAUCCCGCCGGGGCAGCACUUGCAUCCGGCUGGUCCAAAUCACCGUCGAAGGGUUGACACGGUAAACUUCAUUCCUACUCCAAUGCGGCAUGAGGAUUUUGUGCUAGCUAUUGUUCAUCCUGCUUUACCUGAAGACCUUUGGGAUGAACAUAGGGCUGAGAUUACUAAGGUUUGGUACAAGGAUCUAUACUCAGUGCCCCAAUUUGUUGUUUGGGAGCAGCCUAAUGCUCCAAAUGUCUUGGACCAUUAUGUUUAUAUUUUGAAUGGUGAAUUUGCUGAUAUUUUACCACCUGAUGAUGAUUUGCCACAUGGUGAGGGGCCUGUCGAUCCAAAUGUUGAGGAUGCACCAGCCUGGCAGUUUGGAAAUGAACAGCAGCAGCAUAAUCAGCAGAAUCCAAAUUGGGGAGCUUGGGAGGAUAAUCAGGGAGGUAAUCAGGUCGAUGAACAUCUUAUGCCUCUUGUCCCACAGUUGUUGAUUGAUUUGCAAGCAAGCUCUGCAAGCUCUCUAUCUACCUACCCUUCUGCUAGCUCUGCAAGUAUUGCGGAUUCGGCAGUCAGCAUAUCUACUGAUGAACAGACUUUAACCUCUCCAGACAAGAGUAUUGUGGUUCAUAAGGAUUCUGUUCAUGCUGACUUAUAUAAUUAUCUUUGUGAGAGGUUUCCCCAUACCAUGUUUGAUAAACACUUUACUCAAGAUUCUUCCUUUUGGGCUGCUCUCAGUAUUGGACCAUAUAUGCCUGGUGAAUCAUCUUCUUCUAGGCAGCAUCUGGGCUAUAGUCAGGGAAUGGAAUCGGAAUUGCCA